This is a long non-coding RNA of Aethina tumida (small hive beetle), 545 nucleotides long. RefSeq lists it as uncharacterized. The record is from RefSeq and is a predicted model, not a curated record. The transcript is spliced from 3 exons. Lineage: Eukaryota; Metazoa; Arthropoda; Insecta; Coleoptera; Nitidulidae.
CCCGGCGGACGGACACUCCGCCACGACUCGGCGGAGGAGAGGACCGUCGUGGUAAAAAAAAGCCACGGCCGAGAAUGCACGCGGCGGCGGCGGCAGACACGGUCGCAAUCCGACAGAAACGAAUUUUCCAUGAAACAAAAACGCAUCAAAAGGCGGUUUCCACGGCAAAGGAUUAAACAUCAACCGCUGUCUGAACAACGGAAACCGUUACGAGUAAACAGUUUUUCAUUUUGAUUCGAGCAAUGGUCCGAUGUGGAUGUAAGCUCCGAGAAUUGGUGACUUAAAUUGAAGCGAGUAACAUUCACAACUGAUUGGUAUAAAGGACAAGCAAAGGUUUACAGUUCAAUGGAGACAAUCGUUGUCAAGGAAAGUGUUACUGGAACUUAAAUAAUCAUCUCCAUCUACAAUGAUCCAGAUUGAAGAAGAAUCUUGGAAGACGUCGAUUUUUAAUCAAUGUUCGUAAAUUUUUGUCAAAACAGUGACUACGAAGUCUACCACAAAAUUUCCAAUAUCGUUACUUGUAGAAAAUUUUAGCAGGGGUGGAA